Molecule: ribosomal RNA, 253 nt
Filed under: uncultured bacterium
Lineage: Bacteria
Description: partial 16S ribosomal RNA
Rfam family: Bacterial small subunit ribosomal RNA
Source: RNAcentral
UACGUAGGGGGCAAGCGUUGUCCGGAUUUAUUGGGCGUAAAGCGUGCGCAGGCGGCUUUGCAAGACAGAUGUGAAAUCCCCGGGCUUAACCUGGGAACUGCAUUUGUGACUGCAUGGCUGGAGUGCGGCAGAGGGGGAUGGAAUUCCGCGUGUAGCAGUGAAAUGCGUAGAUAUGCGGAGGAACACCGAUGGCGAAGGCAAUCCCCUGGGCCUGCACUGACGCUCAUGCACGAAAGCGUGGGGAGCGAACAGG